This 458-nucleotide ribosomal RNA is filed under the name uncultured bacterium. Its description in RNAcentral is "bacterial SSU rRNA". It matches the Rfam family "Bacterial small subunit ribosomal RNA", at positions 29 to 524 of the family's 1533-position model. The record is from RNAcentral.
AGUGAACGUUGGCGGCGUGGAUUAGGCAUGCAAGUCGAGCGAUCGUAGCAAUACGGGAGCGGCAAACGGGGUAGGAAUACAUCGGAACGUACCUUUUGGUUGAGAAUAGCGUUGGGAAACUGACGGUAAUACUCAAUAAAGUCGAGAGACCAAAGGUUUACUGCCGGAAGAGCGGCCGAUGCGAUAUUAGGUAGUUGGUGGGGUAAUGGCCUACCAAGCCUGAGAUGUCUAGGGGGUGUGAGAGCAUGGCCCCCACCACUGGGACUGAGAUACUGCCCAGACACCUACGGGUGGCUGCAGUCGAGGAUCUUCGUCAAUGGGCGAAAGUCUGAACGAGCGACGCCGCGUGCGGGAUGAAGGCCCUUGGGUUGUAAACCGCUGUCAGGGGGAUGAAACCGUAAGGUUGACAGAGCCCCAGAGGAAGCACGGGCUAAGUUCGUGCCAGCAGCCGCGGUAAU